RNAcentral lists this ribosomal RNA (798 nucleotides) under uncultured bacterium. Its description in RNAcentral is "bacterial SSU rRNA". It matches the Rfam family "Bacterial small subunit ribosomal RNA", at positions 8 to 796 of the family's 1533-position model. The record is from RNAcentral.
AGAGUUUGAUCCUGGCUCAGAACGAACGCUGGCGGCGUGUCUUAAGCAUGCAAGUCGUGCGGCAAGGGGUAGCAAUACCCCCUAGAGCGGCGGACUGGUGAGUAACGCGUGGGUGAUCUGCCCUUGGGAUGGGGAUAGCCACUAKAAAUAGUGGGUAAUACCGAAUACGUUCGGCAGGCUACGGUCUGUCGAGGAAAAGCGCUUCGGCGCUGCCCGAGGAUGAGCCCGCGUCCCAUUAGCUAGUUGGUGAGGUAACGGCCCACCAAGGCGAUGAUGGGUAGGCGGCCUGAGAGGGUGUACGCCCACACUGGGACUGAGAUACGGCCCAGACUCCUACGGGAGGCAGCAGCUAAGAAUAUUCCGCAAUGGACGAAAGUCUGACGGAGCGACGCCGCGUGGAUGACGAAGGCCGAAAGGUUGUAAAGUCCUUUUGCUGGGGAAGAAUAACCAUGGGAGGGAAUGCCCGUGGGAUGACAUGAACCGGCGAAUAAGCCCCGGCUARCUACGUGCCAGCAGCCGCGGUAACACGUAGGGGGCGAGCGUUGUUCGGAAUUACUGGGCGUAAAGGGCAUGUAGGCGGCUCUGUAAGCCUGGCGUGAAAGUCACCGGCUCAACCGGUGGAUUGCGCUGGGAACUGCGGGGCUCGAGUCAUGGAGAGGRAGCUAGAAUUCCUGGUGUAGGGGUGAAAUCUGUAGAGAUCAGGAAGAAUACCAGUGGCGAAGGCGAGCUCCUGGCCAAUGACUGACGCUGAGGUGCGAAAGUGUGGGGAUCAAACAGGAUUAGAUACCCUGGUAGUCC